RNAcentral lists this ribosomal RNA (641 nucleotides) under uncultured bacterium. Its description in RNAcentral is "bacterial SSU rRNA". It matches the Rfam family "Bacterial small subunit ribosomal RNA", at positions 118 to 773 of the family's 1533-position model. The record is from RNAcentral.
UAAGGAACUUGCCUCUUGGACUGGGACAACUGUUGGAAACGACAGCUAAUACCGGAUAUUAUGAGAUUCUCGCAUGAGAAACUUAUGAAAGCUAUAUGCGCCAAGAGAGAGCCUUGCGUUCCAUUAGCUAGUUGGUGGGGUAACGGCCCACCAAGGCGACGAUGGAUAGCCGGCCUGAGAGGGUGAACGGCCACAAGGGGACUGAGACACGGCCCUUACUCCUACGGGAGGCAGCAGUGGGGAAUAUUGGACAAUGGGCCACAAGCCUGAUCCAGCAAUUCUGUGUGCACGAUGAAGGUCUUCGGAUUGUAAAGUGCUUUCAGUUGGGAAGAAGAAAGUGACGGUACCAACAGAAGAAGCGACGGCUAAAUACGUGCCAGCAGCCGCGGUAAUACGUAUGUCGCAAGCGUUAUCCGGAUUUAUUGGGCGUAAAGCGCGUCUAGGCGGAAAAAUAAGUCUGAUGUUAAAAUGCGGGGCUCAACUCCGUAUUGCGUUGGAAACUGUUUUUCUAGAGUACUGGAGAGGUGGGCGGAACUACAAGUGUAGAGGUGAAAUUCGUAGAUAUUUGUAGGAAUGCCGAUGGAGAAGUCAGCUCACUGGACAGAUACUGACGCUGAAGCGCGAAAGCGUGGGGAGCAAAC